Ylistrum balloti is the source of this 639-nucleotide long non-coding RNA. RefSeq lists it as uncharacterized. The record is from RefSeq and is a predicted model, not a curated record. The transcript is spliced from 3 exons. NCBI's taxonomy places the organism in Eukaryota, Metazoa, Mollusca, Bivalvia, Pectinida, Pectinidae.
GUCUAUAGUAUAUAUGUAUGGGCAGGUCUAUAGUAUAUAUAGUAUGGGCAGGUCUAUAGUAUAUAUGUAUGGGCAGGUCUAUAGUAUAUAUGGUAUGGGCAGGUCUAUAGUAUAUAUGGUAUGGGCAGGUCUAUAGUAUAUAUGUAUGGGCAGGUCUAUAGUAUAUAUGUAUGGGCAGGUCUAUAGUAUAUAUGUAUGGGCAGGUCUAUAGUAUAUAUGUAUGGACAGGUCUGUGGUAUGGGCAGGUCUACAGUAUAUAUGGUAUGGACAGGUCUGUAGUAUAUAUGGUAUGGACAGGUCUGUAGUAUAUAUGGUAUGGGCAGGUCUAUAGUAUAUAUGGUACGGGCAGGUCUAUAGUAUAUAUAGUAUGGGCAGAUUCAGUAAUAUAUACCUAUGCAUACACUACUUGGUUUCUUUCUGACAGAAAUGUUUGGUCAGUAAUAUAUACCUGUAUAUUCACUACUGGAACUCUCACUGACAGGAGAGUUGAGGACAGUAAUAUAUAUCUGUAUAUACACCCUAGGGUCUCUCACUGACAGGAGAGUUGGGGCAGUAAUAUAUAUCUGUAUAUAUACACUUAGGGUCUGUCACUGACGGGAGAGUUGGGGCAGUAAUAUAUAUCUGUAUAUAUACACUUAG